This 320-nucleotide ribosomal RNA is filed under the name uncultured bacterium. RNAcentral describes it as "bacterial SSU rRNA". It matches the Rfam family "Bacterial small subunit ribosomal RNA", at positions 1083 to 1402 of the family's 1533-position model. The record is from RNAcentral.
AGUCCCGCAACGAGCGCAACCCCUAUUCUUAGUUGCCAGCGAGUAAUGUCGGGAACUCUAGGGAGACUGCCCCGGAAAUCGGGGAGGAAGGUGGGGAUGACGUCAAGUCCUCAUGGCCUUUAUGUCUAGGGCUACACACGUGCUACAAUGGGCGGUACAAAGGGCAGCGAAAGCGCGAGCUCGAGCCAAUCCCAAAAAACCGUCCUCAGUUCGGAUUUCAGUCUGCAACUCGACUGCAUGAAGGUGGAAUCGCUAGUAAUCCCGGAUCAGCAUGCCGGGGUGAAUACGUUCCCGGGCCUUGUACACACCGCCCGUCACAU